UACGUAGGGGGCAAGCGUUGUCCGGAUUUAUUGGGCGUAAAGAGCGUGUAGGCGGCCAGGUAGGUCUGCUGUGAAAACUCGAGGCUCAACCUCGAGAUGUCGGCGGAAACCGUCUGGCUAGAGUCCGGAAGAGGAGAAUGGAAUUCCCGGUGUAGCGGUGAGAUGCGCAGAUAUCGGGAAGAACACCCGUGGCGAAGGCGGUUCUCUGGGACGGUACUGGCGCUGAGACGCGAAAGCGUGGGGAGCGAACAGG
RNAcentral lists this ribosomal RNA (253 nucleotides) under uncultured bacterium. Its description in RNAcentral is "partial 16S ribosomal RNA". It matches the Rfam family "Bacterial small subunit ribosomal RNA", at positions 524 to 776 of the family's 1533-position model. The record is from RNAcentral.